This 381-nucleotide ribosomal RNA is filed under the name uncultured Methanopyrus sp. RNAcentral describes it as "bacterial SSU rRNA". It matches the Rfam family "Archaeal small subunit ribosomal RNA", at positions 471 to 851 of the family's 1478-position model. Lineage: Archaea; Methanobacteriati; Methanobacteriota; Methanopyri; Methanopyrales; Methanopyraceae. The record is from RNAcentral.
UAAUAGCGGCGCCGCAAGUGGUGGCCGCUUUUAUUGGGCCUAAAGGGGCCGUAGCCGGUCCCGUGGGUCCCCGCCGAAAGCCCGCGGCUUAACCGCGGGAGUCGGCGGGGAAACUGCGGGACUUGGGACCGGGAGAGGCCGGAGGUACCCCCGGGGUAGGGGUGAAAUCCUGCCAUCCCGGGGGGACCGCCAGUGGCGAAGGCGUCCGGCUGGAACGGGUCCGACGGUGAGGGCCGAAAGCCGGGGGAGCAAACCGGAUUAGAUACCCGGGUAGUCCCGGCUGUAAACGAUGCGGACUAGGUGUUGGGGCGGCCAUGAGCCGCCCCAGUGCCGUAGGGAAGCCGUUAAGUCCGCCGCCUGGGGAGUACGGCCGCAAGGCUG